Molecule: ribosomal RNA, 460 nt
Filed under: uncultured bacterium
Lineage: Bacteria
Description: partial 16S ribosomal RNA
Rfam family: Bacterial small subunit ribosomal RNA
Source: RNAcentral
CCUACGGGAGGCAGCAGUGAGGAAUAUUGGUCAAUGGGCGUAAGCCUGAACCAGCCAAGUCGCGUGAGGGAUGAAGGUUCUAUGGAUCGUAAACCUCUUUUAUAAGGGAAUAAAGUGCGGGACGUGUCCCUUUUUGUAUGUACCUUAUGAAUAAGGAUCGGCUAACUCCGUGCCAGCAGCCGCGGUAAUACGGAGGAUCCGAGCUUUAUCCGGAUUUAUUGGGUUUAAAGGGUGCGUAGGCGGCCUUUUAAGUAAGCGGUGAAAGUCUGUGGCUCAACCAUAGAAUUGCCGUUGAAACUGGGAGGCUUGAGUAUGUUUGAGGCAGGCGGAAGGCGUGGUGUAGCGGUGAAAUGCUUAGAUAUCACGCAGAACCCCGAUUGCGAAGGCAGCCUGCCAAGCCAUGACUGACGCUGAUGCACGAAAGCGUGGGGAUCAAACAGGAUUAGAUACCCCUGUAGUC